This 433-nucleotide ribosomal RNA is filed under the name uncultured bacterium. RNAcentral describes it as "partial 16S ribosomal RNA". It matches the Rfam family "Bacterial small subunit ribosomal RNA", at positions 29 to 507 of the family's 1533-position model. The record is from RNAcentral.
AACGAACGCUGGCGGCAGGCCUAACACAUGCAAGUCGAGCGAGCAUUUCGGUGCUAGCGGCGGACGGCUGAGUACCGCGUGGGAACGUGCCCUUUUCUGCGGAAUAGUCCUGGGUAACUGAGGGUCAUACCGCUUACGCCCUUUUGGGGAAAGAUCUACCGGUGAAGGAUCGGCCUGGGUUGGUUUAGGCAGUUGGUGGGGUAAUGGCCCACCAAGCCGACGAUCCAUGGCUGGUUUGAGAGGAUGAUCAGCCACACUGGGACUGAGACACGGCCCAGACUCCGACGGGAGGGAGCAGUGGGGAAUCUUAGACAAUGGGGGCAACCCUGAUCUAGCCAUGCCGCGUGAGUGAGGAAGGCCUUAGGGUUGUAAAGCUCUUUCAGCUGGGAAGAGAAUGACGGUACCAGCAGAAGAAGCCCCGGCUAACUCCGUG